GGGCUCGUAGUUCAACGGCAGAACACGGCAAUCGCAAUGCCGAAAUAGGAGUUCAAUUCUCCUCGAGUCCACCU
RNAcentral lists this transfer RNA (74 nucleotides) under bacterium. Its description in RNAcentral is "tRNA-Ala". It matches the Rfam family "tRNA". Rfam says of the family: Transfer RNA (tRNA) molecules are approximately 80 nucleotides in length. Their secondary structure includes four short double-helical elements and three loops (D, anti-codon, and T loops). The record is from RNAcentral.